CCGUAGAUAUUUUGGUUCAAG
RNAcentral lists this small RNA (21 nucleotides) under Karenia brevis. Its description in RNAcentral is "trans-spliced leader sequence SL". The record is from RNAcentral. Lineage: Eukaryota; Dinophyceae; Gymnodiniales; Kareniaceae.